This 1396-nucleotide long non-coding RNA is filed under the name Felis catus (domestic cat). Its description in RNAcentral is "lncRNA (ENSFCAG00000052848.1)". Lineage: Eukaryota; Metazoa; Chordata; Mammalia; Carnivora; Felidae. The record is from RNAcentral.
AUGAGGCCACACCCUCCUUCUGCAAAUCCACAGGCCAAGGGAUAUUUUCCAGCCACCAAAACCCCAAGCUGGCCUAAGUCCCCUUCCUUCCAGGCUCACGGGGAUCCCUGUUGCCAGUUUGGACAGCUGGAAGGCCUCAGCACACACACACCUGGGAGAGGACAGGUUACUUGUGAGUCACGCCAGGCCAAGUGCUGCACACAGGGGACAGCGACACAGACACUGACCUCCACCAAGUCCAAGGAGGCAGGCUGGACAGUGGAACUGAGGGGGCUUAAUGACCAGGAACAAAAAGCUCCAGAGCCACGGGGUGGAGGGGAGAUGGCCUUCCUCAGGGAAAGAAUGGAGGACAAGCACUGGUCUGGUGGUGGUAGUGGUUUUAAAGACCGGGGGUAAGACCACCUUCUGAUAAUCAGGUAGGUAAGGAACAAGACUUUUUUUCUAUCUGCAGUGCACACAAGUUACCCAUUCAAGGCACAGAGAAAACAAGGCACAGAGUUUACUGAGUGCCUACUAUGUGCUAGGGACCGGGCUGGGUGAUAAGGCAACGCUUUUCCUACUUCUGAUGUGUCCUUCCCUGUGGAAGGGGCUCCCUGAGCAAACUCUCCUGUCCCUCCUUACUCCUCGCCCAGAGAGAGGAAAAAAAUGAGCUGAUCUGUGAGUUUGAAGAAAUAGGCCAUGCAGAGCCCAGCCCCCUCCCUAGUUGUCUGCUCAGGUUUCUCCAUGUGACAGUUUCUAAGGGGCCUGCCCCACUCACCUGUGCCCCCUGUCUGUGGGAAAUCAGCCCAAGCCACAUCUGCAAAUACCACCUUCACACAGGCUUCCAUCUGCUGACUCUUCUGAACUCUUUCUCAAUUGGAUCAGACCUUGGGCAGGGGAAUGUCUAACUGUGACAUAUGGUGAACACCACAGCCAGUGUGCCUGCCCUCGGGGAGCUGACAGUCAGGCCAGAAUGUGCAUUUGAGGCUCUCGCCAGAGAUCUCAAUCCUGGGGUGCCUGCCAUCCUGAUCCUCUCAUUCUGAGCCUAGGGAGAUCUGAGCCAGAUGUCUGGAGGGACACGUGGCCAAGUGAUCUUUCCCAACCCUUCAGGGGCUCCCCAUUGCCUGCAGGGAAAAGUCCACUUCCUGUCUCCCAUUUAAAGCCCCCUGCUUAUCUCUCCAACCUUCUCCUUCCCCCACUCUCCACCUUGUCUCUACGCUGAGAGAGCCCAUGACUGACCUCUUUCAUCUAGUGGCAUUCUCUCUCAGGCCUUCACAUUUGCUGUUCUCUCUUCCUGACCAAUUUCUCUUCCUGUCCUUUUACCUAAUUCCUGCAGGUCUCUGCUAAGAUGCUCCUUUACCCAGAGAACCAUCCCUUACCUUCCACUGACAUUGCAGAUUUGGCUUGAAUGUCCCUC